This 484-nucleotide ribosomal RNA is filed under the name uncultured bacterium. RNAcentral's name for it is "partial 16S ribosomal RNA". It matches the Rfam family "Bacterial small subunit ribosomal RNA", at positions 30 to 507 of the family's 1533-position model. The record is from RNAcentral.
AUUGAACGCUGGCGGCAUGCCUAAUACAUGCAAGUCGAGCGGAUGAAGGAGGCUUGCUCCUGUCUGCAGUGGGGGACGGGUGGGUAAUGCCUAGGAAUCUGCCUUACAUUGGGGAAUAAGGUCCGGAAACGGGACCUAAUCCCGCAUAGGUCCUUAGUUAGAAAGGGGUGGUUCUUCGGACCUAGAGCGUCUUGAUGUGCCUAGGUCGGAUUAGCUAGUUGGUGGGGUAAAGGCCUACCAAGGCGACGAUCCGUAACUGCGCUGAGAGGAUGAUCAGCCACACUGGAACUGAGACACGGUCCAGACUCCUACGGGAGGCAGCAGUAGGGAAUAUUGGACAAUGGGCGAAAGCCUGACGGAGCAAUGCCGCGUGUGUGAUGAAGGUCUUCGGAUUGUAAAACACUGUAAGUAGGGAGGAAGAGAAGUAAGUUAAUCCCUUCCUGUCUUGACGUUACCAAAAGAAAAAGCCCCGGCUAACUUCGUG